Molecule: transfer RNA, 73 nt
Filed under: Amborella trichopoda
Lineage: Eukaryota; Viridiplantae; Streptophyta; Magnoliopsida; Amborellales; Amborellaceae
Rfam family: tRNA
About the family: Transfer RNA (tRNA) molecules are approximately 80 nucleotides in length.
Source: Rfam by way of RNAcentral
GUGGGGAUAGCUCAGUUGGGAGAGCGUCAGACUGAAGAUCAGAAGAUUACAUGUUCGAUCCGCGCUCACCGCA